RNAcentral lists this ribosomal RNA (406 nucleotides) under uncultured bacterium. RNAcentral's name for it is "partial 16S ribosomal RNA". It matches the Rfam family "Bacterial small subunit ribosomal RNA", at positions 30 to 526 of the family's 1533-position model. The record is from RNAcentral.
AUUGAACGCUGGCGGCAGGCCUAACACAUGCAAGUCGAGCGAGCGGAGAACGGGUGAGUGAUGUAUGGUGAACUGCGCGAUUGAGGGGGAUAACUGCUGGGGACAGUAGCUAAUACCGCAUACUAUCGGAUGAGCCCAUAUGGGAUUAGCUAGUAGGUGGGGUAACGGCUGACCUAGGCGACGAUGACUAGCUGGUCUGAGAGGAUGAUCGGCCACAUUGGGACUGAGACACGGCCCAGACUCCUACGGGAGGCAGCAGUGGGGAAUAUUGCACAAUGGGCGCAAGUCUGAUGCAGCAAUGCCGCGUGUAUGAAGAAGGCUUUAGGGUUGUAAAGCACUUUCAUCGGUGAGGCGUUACCCGAAGAAGAAGCAACGGCUAACUCCGUGCCAGCAGCCGCGGUAAUUC